RNAcentral lists this ribosomal RNA (502 nucleotides) under uncultured bacterium. Its description in RNAcentral is "bacterial SSU rRNA". It matches the Rfam family "Bacterial small subunit ribosomal RNA", at positions 29 to 524 of the family's 1533-position model. The record is from RNAcentral.
AAUGAACGCUGGCGGCGUGCCUAACACAUGCAGGUCGAGCGAGAAAGUUCCUUCGGGAAUGAGUAAAGCGGCGGACGGUUGAGUAACACGUGAGAAUCUACCCUUUAGUGAAGAAUACCUUCGAGAAAUCGAAAUUAAUACUGCAUAAGUCCCUUCGGGGAGAAAGUGGCCUCUUUGCUACUGCUAAAAGGAUGAGCUUGCGGACUCUCAGCUAGUUGGUGAGGUAAAGGCUCACCAAGGCUAUGACGGUUAGCCGGCCUGAGAGGGUGAACGGCCAGACUGGAACUUAGACACGGUCCAGACUCCUACGGGAGGCAGCAGUGAGGAAUAUUGCGCAAUGGGCGAAAGCCUGACGCAGCGACGCCGCGUGGAGGAUGAAGGUUUUCGGAUCGUAAACUCCUGUUAAGUGGGAAGAAAAGUCUGUGGUUAAUACCCCGGCAGGAAAAUGACGGUACCAUUAUAGAAAGCAACCGGCUAACUACGUGCCAGCAGCCGCGGUAAU